CUUUAUUGGCAUAAAUCACAGGAAUUGAAAUGGGAAAAGCCAGGUUGGAAGUUUACAGAGAAAAAAUAAAAUCAAAAUCAAAUUUUCAAAUAACCAUUGACUCAGAGAAUGGACCCCAGAAACCCCAGUCCCUCUUGGGGAAGAUCUAGGGUGGGUCACUAUAAACAGAGCGGUAAGGCCUGUGGGUGAAAGUGGAGACAUCAGACCUUUGGAGGGGCCGGGCUGACCUUCCCCCACAAAGGAGGGACCCUCUUUGGAGACCCCAGCACACACUCGGCUUCUGCCAGGAGGCCAGUGGAGUGGUUUGGACUGUCACCGUUAGACCCCGGUGGGGCCCCUUUCUCCUGAUCAGGAGCCCAAGGCCUGGCUCCUCUUUCAUCCUUGGUAAAGAGCUCUGGGGGGUUUCCCCAGAGGAGCCUGUCCCUCUGCCCCAAAUCCUAUCAUGCUCCCUUAUGACCUUCUUUCCAGACCCCCUGAGUGCCGAUCCCACCUGUGAAAGGGGAGGAGCAGAUCUGGGGAAGGGAUAUGCCCAGAGGAAAUCAACAAGACCAAAGAGACGUCAGAGUCCUGAUGGCCAAAAUCAGACACCAGCUUUCCUGAGAAGGCAGAAGAGAGAGCCCCAUAGAAGCAGUGGGGGCUCAGAAGGUUCAGUGGGUUCACAGGGGAGCAGAGGCUCCUGAGGGCUUACUCAGACAGGAAGCAGCCCCCCAAAACAUACUUCCCCUUCUCCUCCCACAGAAACAGAACAGAUGAAGUUCAGAAUUCUAGGCCCAAAAGGGUGCAACACCCUUCAACCAGUUUCAGUGAAGAGCUUGCUGGCCUGGGAAGUAAAGAAGGGGUUUCCAAAUACAGCAGUUUAUAAAACAGUCCUGAGAAGUCAAAGCAACUCAGGCGAUAUGAAUUCAAACCUCAGUGUAGAAAUCUAUCAAAGUCGGUACAGUGUCCAGGCACGCCGUCCCGGAGACGGAGGAAGUGACUAGAAAACAUUAUUGCUGGAGAGGCUUUUCUCAGUAGAACAAGAGCAGGUAUAAAAGGGGAGGGCGGGUCUAAAAGGCAGGGGCAGUCGCCAGGCCUAGGGCACUGGAAGGGUAGGAGGAGCACAGAGAACCUUCCAUGGCCCCUUUGGUUCUCUGCCUUUGGAUGGAUGGAUUUAUGCUGGCAUUGUCUGGAGGGAGCCGGGUGUCCCCCAAUAAUCACAGAACAAAGACAAUUAGGUCGGGGGAGGAAUAAGGAUAAAAAGAGACCCCAACAGACCCUGCCUGCCCUUCCCUGCCCACCGGCUGCACUGCUGAAAUAUGAGGAAGAGAUGGCUCCAGUGUGGGGUGCUGGCCAGGCCAGUUCGUGGGGACGUACAUGGGCUGGGGUGGAGCCCCCAGCCUCUACCCCUGGGGAGGAUGGAGAGUGGGCAGCCUAGGGAGAGCUGCAGGAGGGAGGAGGGGGCCCAGAGGCUCUGGCAGGGGUGAAGACAAGCAGGGGGACCCCUCACGGCCCUCUGUCCAUCCCGCACCAGCGGAGGACAAGGGUUCCAGUUUCAGUCGGGUUUACCCCUUCACCCCCGGGUGAAGUCUCUGGGUCACAGUCGCAGUUGGGGAUGCGGGCUGGGGAAGUGGGGCAGAGACAGGGGCAGGGCGCCUAGCAGAAGAGCUUGAGGAAGCAGUUCUGACAGUAAGGCUUGUCGUUCUGCUCCUUGAAGGUGCCCUUGUUGAGCUGCUUGAGGCAGAAGGCACAGACGAAGUGCUCGGGGUGGAACUUCUUGGCCAUGGCGGUG
This 1768-nucleotide long non-coding RNA is filed under the name Pan troglodytes (chimpanzee). RNAcentral describes it as "long non-coding RNA NONPTRT003683". The record is from RNAcentral. Lineage: Eukaryota; Metazoa; Chordata; Mammalia; Primates; Hominidae.